CCCCCUCCCCGCCCUGUCCUGGCGCCGCGCUCCAGCUCGCCCUUGCGUAUCCUCGCUUAGGAUCCCGAAAUCACCUUUCGCGCGUGCCCUGGAUUUAAUCUCUCUCCGUCCCACACGAUGCCCGCAGCGGCGUGCCCUACAUAACAUGGGCAGGGAGAGGGACUUCACUGCGGUGCUGGCAUGGGCGGGCUGCUGGGGGAAGGGAGGAAAGGCCGCCUUUCCUAAUUGUCACGAUCACAAGAAAUUCUUGUGAUUCUCCGAGCGGCCCCCUUGCUCUAGAAGCGGGGAUGCAGUGAUGGGAUUUAAGCCUCUGAACACACGAAGGGAGCAAAUAUUGCCAAGAGAGCACAGAUGGAUACUGAGGAGCAUCUCCCACAGAAUGAAUAAAUUCGCAGAAGUGUCAGAUGCUGCAGCCACAGGCUUCUCCUGUCAGCAGCGACUGCUCUUGCCUCGGCAGGAUGAGCUGCAGCGAACCUAGCCGGGAAAGGGCAGGGUGUGCUCCGCUGGGAUCGGCCCGUCCGCAUCCAACAGAGCCGCGGGAGCGAGAGCAGAGCCAUUCCCACACGUGCCAGCAGAAAAAAAGACAUCUUCCUCUCAGUCACCCAAAACCAUCCACAUUGGCAGCACAGCCAUUACUUGGAAAUUUCCAUACCUCCUCACAUGAGACGUCUUCUGUUGCACAUCCCACAAAUCAAGCCUACUCCUCAAAGUCUGUGUGGAGGUUCCAGGCCCACCCGCAGGGUUUGAUUCUCACACCAAACCCAGCUUGAACCUGGAUUUUUCCUGGCUGACCUGGGUCUCUCUGCCUUGUCUUUGUAUCUGCUGAAGUUCUUAGAAAGAUCUGAUCACUGAAAUCACCAUUCCUUUUCUUCCUCUCCAAAAUACAAGUUUAUUUCAGUGAAGAAACACCAGUUUAUAGCUGAGCCUCAAACCUGCAAGGAAAACAGGUGUUUUGCUUCUGAUGCUUUGUCUGUCUCACAAGUUGACAAUUUUGGUUGCAAUUGUACUGGAAAAGCUACCCUCAACUCUUGCCAGCAUGGCCUCAACAACCUUUGGAAUGUAAAACUAAUGUCUCUCACAUUGCAUGUACUCAACUGAUGCACCUUGGAAGUGCACAUGGCUCCUCAUUCCCCCUGCACUACAAUAAUGUGUUCAGGCCUCUUCUUUGACCAGAAGGACAUGAGUUCUUAUGUCUGUGUGAAGGCACAUCAAGGAGACGUGUGACAAAUCUUGUGUCUUCAGGCCUCACUGGAUAUGACCUUCUGGUCAGUUCCAGUUUAUACAGCAGUAGCACGGCAUAUCCAUGGAACGCCCCAUCUUCACACAUCUCCAGUUUUGAUUUUAUCAAGAAUCUAGAUUAAUCUGCAUCAUGAUGAAUUCAAAAAAUAAAGAAGCUGGGUUUAUUAAUAAAUGUUUUCACACUGACCUCUUCCCACAAUGCAGUUUCCUCACACAGCAUCCUCUCCAGGAGGAAAGUAAGUGUACAGACACUUCCCAUGGCCCCAGCUGUGUGCAGCUGAGGGGGUAGGGAUAAGGGUGCACACUGCCAGACAAAAGAACUGGCCAACCCAGUUGAACAGAGCGGCCUAAACAAAAGAAUCUCUACAUGGAGGUGUUUACAAGACCUGAUUACUGGAUUUUUCAAAACACAGGUUACCCAAACACUGCAGAAUGCAUGGAUUCUUGGCACUAGGGGGAAAGAAAAACAUCUUAAAUAUGCCGAAAAUUCACAAGAACUGUGUGUAUGAUGAAGAACUGCAUCAACUGUUAAUACGCACAUAGACAGUUUUCCACUUAGCAGGGAAAACAGCAGAUUAUAUUUAAAAAUGGGAGAAACCCACAGUGGUCCAAUGCUUCACGUGUUCCCUUUGCUUCCCUCCUCACAGCAGGGAAACCCAAAAGCAAGAUAAAAUCCUUUGUGGGCUAUUUGAAAAACACAAGCACACUCUGUAUCAGGAGAGGGUUUAAAGUGCACACUUUUAUUUUCUAUUACAAAGGCUAAAAGAAGCAAGUUUGUUUUUUCUUUAUUUAUUUAAGAACAAAACCAAAAAUGUUGUUAAAACAUCUACAUAUUUAUCCUGAUACUAGACCUUAUGAAAGAUACUAAGUUCUUUUUUAAUAGUAAAGCGUGGUAUUCUUAAAUUAUAUUAAUACAAAGACAUAUUAAAGGACUCAAAAUCAUUACCACCCAGCUCAGAACUGCAGCAUCCCCUUGCUAUCUUUUCCUUUCACAUGCUAAAACCCAUCCAUUUUUGACAUACAGUUUCAUACAAGCUAAGUAGGGUAUUUUUUGGUUUUUAUUUUUUUACUUCUCCCUCUAAAGGCCAGGUUAACUCCAAUGCCAGUGUCACCUAAAUCCCUGCCCCCUGCCAAAGAAUUUGUGAAAAGAUUUUCACUAAGUCUUUCAGCAUUUAAUAAGUUUCUGCUCUGUGUGAAUGUCUGUGGUUAUUUUGCAGACAGGUAAAUACAGACAGGUUAUUUUCUUCUAAUGCUGUAAAAUUAAGACAUCACUUCCUUUGUUAAUAACCCUCAAAUUUGGUUCUGUGCUGCAGAAUUUUCUUCUUCUCUCACACAAAUAAAGAAGAGGGAGUUAUCACAGGGUCUUGUGAACACACCACUAAAGCAGCCCCUACAACUUUCAGUUUAUCUGCUGUAGAGCUGUAAGCACUGAGCAUUUCUGCUGAGAGCACAUAAUGUGCUGAAGAAAACCCUCUUGGCUUGAUAAAGCAAGUCUGGGAAGUCAAGUGUGAAACUUCCUGCCUUUCACAACGUCCCUUUAAAUAAUAUAAGCAAAGCCUUAUAUUUAAACUUUACUCACUAGUUAGCAGUAUAAUACUCUCUCACUGAGAUGGGACUGGAAGGACAUCCUAAAAGGUUUCAAAAAGGGAAACCUGUCCCAUCUCAAAGUUUAUACCUAUCUAUAUAAACCCCCCCUUUCUUCUGUUAUUUCCCUUUCCCUAUCCCAAAUAAAAGGGUUAAUAUUUAAACUGGGGAUGCUGCGUUUCCUGGCCUGAGUCCUUUUCCUUUACCCUCAUUUAAAAGAUUCCUUCGAUACCACACACAUAUAUAAUAUUAUAUAGAGCAAUAUAUUUAAUACUUGUGUAUAUAUGCUUCAUGGGAGGGGUCACAUAUAUACACACUAAAACAAGUCUGGUGACGAAGUACUGCAACACCACAGACCAGGUUAUCAUAUCAGGGAAAACAAAGAGACACUUGAAACAACCCUCAUGACUGUGGGCCUACCUCACUCACUUCACCUCACCUAACAAUCUCACCCUCUCCUCACCUCAGCCCCAGCCUGAACCUCUCAAGUCCCAUGGAGCAGCUCAGCUCUCAUUGCAGAGAGGAGGAGAGGGGACAGUGACCAACUCUGAAACCUAAACAAGUCAUUGCAUGAGAAAUCACGGCUCAGCGAACGCUAGAGUCACACUUGAGAUGCAGGUUUGUUUUAAAAAUAAAAAACACAUUCCAGUGUCCCCCAAUCCAGAUUUUCUUCCUUGGCAUAUCUGCCCAAAAAGAGCAGAACAAGAUAUCCCAGGAACUGAUGCCUGUCUAGGAGCUGAUGCCUGUCCCCUCCCAUCUCUGAAGUUGACCACUUGAGCACAAGGAUGACCAGAAGAAGGUACCAUAGUUUCUCUCUUGAAGCUCUGAACCCCAGGGAUAUGGAAGCAGAGAGGAAUGGGAGGAUGCAGCAAUGCCUAAGCACCAAGCAGUUCAUGGCCAGAUUGUAUUUACCAUGGAUACAGCCCUACCAGCCCCAAGAGCUCCGAGACUGCAGUCCCAGAAGACUCUGUACGAAAAAGACAUCCCUGAUGAAAGCUGGGAGGGAGACGUGUUUGUGUUUGAGUGGAUGGUGCCAUCCAUGCAUGCAAAACUGCAGAGCACAACUGGACUGUAGAGGAGAGAAGGAGAGGGGAGCUCAGGUCAGGAGAUACAUUUACUGCUUACAGGAUGAGACUGCCAGAAAGGACAAGGCUGGCAUUCAGAGCAGUCAGUACUGCUUCUCACUGCUGCCCCUUAUAAAAGCAGAACUCCUGUCCCAGAGUUCAGCAUUACUGGUUAUCUCAUCAAAGCACUCAUCAGGCAGCACAAGAGCAGGCCAUGGCUAGGUCCUGCUGUGCCACUCACUCUCCCUGCUCUGGGUCGCAUCCUGGUCGCACUGUGCAUCCGUGAGCUCCCUGCCCUGGCUCUGAGGAGGAGGGGGCUGGACCUCUGGUACUGGUAAGCGCUUCCAGCUGGAUUCCCAUUAGCUAAACAUUGCCCAUGCUGCGCAAUGGUGUCGUUUUAAAUGGGUCCCCACCCAGUUCUUCUGGCAGUGCAGGGAAAAAUGCAGCUCUAAGUAACUGGAAACACAUGCCAUUUACAGAGCAAAAAAGAACACCAUUACCCCCCUCCCUCCCUCCCUCUCUUCAAGACACAAGGCAAUACAGAAACACAGGCUCCUUUUGGUGACCACCUCCCUCCUGACUGAUACUGCUGUGUGGACUUCAGUGACACACAAUGUAUCAUAGACUCCACUACACCUCCUAGAUGGGUUGUUUUACUUGCAUCAGUCACACCAGCCAAAAAAACAAACCCAAACUAUCUGCCCUGAAUACCUGCCACAUACUGAAGAAGACAU
Catharus ustulatus (Swainson's thrush) is the source of this 4621-nucleotide long non-coding RNA. RefSeq lists it as uncharacterized. Lineage: Eukaryota; Metazoa; Chordata; Aves; Passeriformes; Turdidae. The record is from RefSeq and is a predicted model, not a curated record. The transcript is spliced from 3 exons.